Molecule: ribosomal RNA, 625 nt
Filed under: Lactiplantibacillus plantarum
Lineage: Bacteria; Bacillati; Bacillota; Bacilli; Lactobacillales; Lactobacillaceae
Description: bacterial SSU rRNA
Rfam family: Bacterial small subunit ribosomal RNA
Source: RNAcentral
UCGACGAACUCUGGUAUUGAUUGGUGCUUGCAUCAUGAUUUACAUUUGAGUGAGUGGCGAACUGGUGAGUAACACGUGGGAAACCUGCCCAGAAGCGGGGGAUAACACCUGGAAACAGAUGCUAAUACCGCAUAACAACUUGGACCGCAUGGUCCGAGNUUGAAAGAUGGCUUCGGCUAUCACUUUUGGAUGGUCCCGCGGCGUAUUAGCUAGAUGGUGGGGUAACGGCUCACCAUGGCAAUGAUACGUAGCCGACCUGAGAGGGUAAUCGGCCACAUUGGGACUGAGACACGGCCCAAACUCCUACGGGAGGCAGCAGUAGGGAAUCUUCCACAAUGGACGAAAGUCUGAUGGAGCAACGCCGCGUGAGUGAAGAAGGGUUUCGGCUCGUAAAACUCUGUUGUUAAAGAAGAACAUAUCUGAGAGUAACUGUUCAGGUAUUGACGGUAUUUAACCAGAAAGCCACGGCUAACUACGUGCCAGCAGCCGCGGUAAUACGUAGGUGGCAAGCGUUGUCCGGAUUUAUUGGGCCGUAAAGCGAGCGCAGGCGGUUUUUUAAGUCUGAUGUGAAAGCCUUCGGCUCAACCGAAAAAGUGCAUCGGAAACUGGGAAACUUGAGUGCAGA